GGACUGUGUAGGAACACCAGAUUUCACCAGAAUGGACAGCUAGCAGACCAUGAGGAUUCAAUAAUCCCUUCAGCUAUGUUGCAUAAAACUGAAUCAUAUGCAGGGACAAAGUGAGAGGAACGCUGAGACAAACUGAAGGAGAUGAGAUGGUCCAUCACAUCAAAGAGCUGAGGUCACGGUGGAGACUUAGCACAUCAGUACACAGGUCCAUGGUAUUGGCACUGCCUUUUGAAUGUCCAGAGGGCGUCUCAGGAACUGAUUUGGCACAACAGAAACAAGCUGAGCCUUCAGGAUGUGAUGUGGGUUAAUCGAAGAAACAUCCAUAAUGGUAUGGCUAACCACCACCACUCUCUGGCCUCUCCUAAAGGCCCACCCAUCGGUGCCCCAGGGCAGAGGAGAGAGAGAGGGAGAAGGUGAAAGGGAGAUGGAGAGGGGAGAAGAAUUUUGUGCGAUAGAAGGAUUGACGCUGAAGUCAAUAAGGAUUCACUUCAGCUCUCCGUAAGAGUGAACAAGCAGUUUGUUGACAAUGAGGAAAAGGGCCUGCGUGGAACUGAAUUGUUGGGGGACUGAUGGGAGGACAUGGAAAUGUGGGUCGAGCUGCACCGGGUCUUUCAUCUGAAGGUUCUGUUCAUCCUCACUCCGCCUGCUAUUCGUCCAGGGAGAUGCCUGUCACAAAUUCCUGCCUUACAUGUCAGAGACACCCGUUCCCCCAUGCAGCCCUGGACUGGUCUUACAGACACAAUCCAAUGGUACACUCACUUUGUAGUAGCCACAUUUGACAUCUGGACCGCAGAGACAAAGGUGAAACACAGGAGCACACUGAUACUGUGGUGUGGUGAAUGUUGGUCUUAAAGCAGGUUUGGAAACUGACUUUUUCUGCUGUCAUAAAACAGAUCAGAUGACACAACAAUCAAGGUAGCAGCUAUAAAAAAAUACAGACAUUAACUCAUCUUUCCUUUUGUUGCUGCACAGUUUUUAAUUGUUUUUUCAUUGUUUCCAACAACUCCUCUUCCUCCUUUUGCCUGGUCUUCUCUCACUCAUGUCAUCUCUCUGCCUCCCGAUUUCCCCUCUCCUUCCUCUUAUUUAAUGAGGAUCAGAGUGAAAGUUAGAUGUGUCCUCUUCAACCACAUCAAGCGCUUCAAGCUUGUGCUACUGCUGUGUCCGAUGUCUGCAGGCACCGCUUUGUGUGCCUUCAAAAAUACCAGGCUUCAGCCUGAAAAGUAGCCAUUGUUUUGCUGCAUAGAUAAAUAUUGACCAUGCAAAGCCCAUAAAGGUUUGUGCUUUGACUUUGCAGUACACUUCAUGCUGAACUACCUGUCCUCCCCUGCAGAUGCAAGCUGUGUAAUGAUUUUAUGUGGUAGACAUCAGGUAAUCUGAUGGUACAGCGUUUCAUAUUUUGGUGAUGUUGUUUUUUUAAAAGCUAUAUGUGGGAGUGUUUUGAGGGCUGGGAAUAAUACCAAUGCUUCUCUCAUUCCAGUUUUUUGUACAACACCAGGAACACUCCUCGCCGAAAAACAUCUCUCGCCCUGAGGGAAACAAACUCAGUUCCUGUGCAAAUAAAUAACAGCACAUGCAGUCAAGACAAAACAGCAAUUAUCCAGGAGAGAGAGACAGAGAGAGAGAGAGAGAGAGAGAGAGAGAGAGUGCUAAUGUAGUUCAUGCACCAAUAUUUUCAUGUUCACCACUGUUUCUGUCUUUACAUGUCUUUACUGCCUGUUUUUGUGAUAAAUGUGUGUGGAUUUGUGCUGUAAACUUCUCCAUGCAGUUUGCCGUGUUUGCAUAAAUACUGUUUAACACUUUGAUGAUCAGAAGAUCUUCAUGGACUGAUCCCUUGGCAAGAGAAAGACAACAGGAGUUCAUUUUGACUUGUGUUGACACUAAAGUCUGAGCUGAAAACCAUGUCUGUGCGGUUGUUUCAGGCUCUGGCCUACUAAGUAGUCCAGGCUACAAAUGCAGGCAUGUUUCCCUACAAAUAUGAGUCUGUGAAUAAACUAAGCCUUAAGCCCGGCUGACAGCACAAUUUGAUUUUCUAAGAUGCCUUGCAAUGAAAACCUCUCCACCCUGUUUUAAGUAAUAAGAGAUUACAGGUAAUCUCCUGGUAAUGGCAGGUGGCAUUCCACCACAGCAAGCACUUCUGAGGCACUGGGAGAUGUUGUUUUUGACCUAAAAGCCGCACUAAUCCUGUCUCAACAUAUUAAUUGGUUCAUUGAUGAGCGCAGAAAGGAACUUUACUAACUCAACAAGGUCUGGGUGAAAAGGUUUGUGUUGUUCUAUGUCAUCUGUGUCUUUGCAUGUGAAGGUAUGUGUGGGCAUGUGCAUCUGUUUGCAGAGAUAUGUAUGUACCUGAAAGCAUGUGGACACGCACACUAUGUAAUGCCUCUGCAGCCAGGCUCAUGGGUACUGUAGUUUCAGUGCUAAAUUGACAUUCCAGUGAUGAUCUAGGAGACUGCUGUGUUGAGGUGUUGAAGUGUGUUUGGCUUAUUUUUUUUCAGUGCUUAAAGUUGGAUAUAGCAAACUGCACAUGUAAGCCACAUGUCACAAAUCGCUCUUUACAUUCUAAUGAAUACUAAAUGUACGUAAGAUUUGAUCAGCACCCUCAUUUUUUGCAAGACAAAUAACAAUAUGAAAGUUCAACUGUUGAAAGUUGGCAGGCAAAUAAAAUAUAGUCAGGUAUAACAGAGGCUGUUCACUUGGACAGCAAUGAGCAUAGACCCUAAGGUUUUUGUUGAAGCAUGAGACUUGAAUAGCAGCUGAAGCAACUGAACCGUAAAAGUUUGCAAAGUCAGAUAAAAAUGAACAAACUGAAACUGAACUACUAAACUGACAGUAAUGUAAAUAACACUGACACAGGAAACAGAAUAUUAAUUUGACUUUUAUAUAAUUUUCAUUUUAGUUGAUUUUGGUGUCACAUUAAAAUCUACAGUCAUAAAACAUCCGUGCAUGAGGCUAUAAACAGGUGUGGACCGCUUGUGAAUUUUGUUAGUACCUAAAAACUUUUUUUUUAAAUAGCAAUACAAAAAAAUUGUGAAUGUUCUCAUAAACCAAUUUUAAGUGUCAUGUAACAUUGCAUUCCUGACAUUGUCCAACUCAGGAUGGAUUUGAAGUUUUUUUUUUUGUUUGUUUUUAAAGGAUCCAAAUCAAUAAAGCAGAA
Molecule: long non-coding RNA, 3151 nt
Organism: Seriola aureovittata
Lineage: Eukaryota; Metazoa; Chordata; Actinopteri; Carangiformes; Carangidae
Exons: 5
Source: RefSeq, a predicted model, not a curated record